Molecule: long non-coding RNA, 7652 nt
Filed under: Homo sapiens (human)
Lineage: Eukaryota; Metazoa; Chordata; Mammalia; Primates; Hominidae
Description: non-protein coding lnc-NPY-1:1
Source: RNAcentral
UUCAAAUGGAUUUACAACUAGAAAUGACAGACACAAGGGCUGCACUAUGACUUUUGGGGACUCUAGCCACUUUUGCCAUCAUGGGCCCUUUCUUCCAUAAAAAAUAUUUUAAAUGGUAUUUCAUGACUAACUACACAGGCUUAAAGAUGAGUAUAAUUCAAGCUGGACUGUAUUUUUUUUCUUCUGACUUUAAAAGAAAUUAAAACCUCUUCAUGGACCACUAAUAACAUCGUGAGCCUUGGGCACUCUGUGUAUUGCACCAAAUGGAUAAGUCAGCUCUGGACAAACUUGUACCAAGGCAAUAUAUUUCCUCACUUCAGGAACCAGCAAGAACUAACACUAAGGAGAGGCCACUUCUUCUACAUUCUGAAAUUCUGAUUAUUAAAGUCCGAUAAUGAGUCCCAGUGUGUCGUGGUGGCCAAAGACCAUAUAUGAUAUCUCCUGUCUGGAUGGAGGUUACAUUCAUCAAUGACAUAGCAAUUGUCCUACCUCUACAGCUGUGUCCUCAUCACUCAUGUAUAGUCAUUCAGAAACAGUGUGGAGACCAAGGCAGGCAGAUCACUUGAGGUCAAGAAUUCGGAGAGGAAGGAGUAAGUUGAAGAAAGACAAGGAUGACAAACAGGAGAGAGUAUGGGGUGUCUCAGCACUGCCAACUGGGAACUGAGCUUUGCACUCCCCAUGACAGAUUGGAGCUAAUGGCUGAGAAAUAUGAUCCUGAAACUAUCCCCUAAAUGCCAGUUCAAAGAGUCCUCCUUCUCACACAAUGACUCAGUGGAGGGAGGCGGCAAUCUGAACUUGAUGAUGGAACGACAAGGCAAGUGUCGGUUUGUUUUUCCUAUCAGGUGUCGACUUCGCGGAAAGCUCCAUCUCAAUUGCCAUGAGUCAAAACUUGAUUGCUGAGAGCAAGAAAGAUGGGUACAGCAGGAGUCGCGUACUUAGUCACCCAUACAUGUUACAAAGUUCAUUCAGAGUGUCCUGGGGUCUUCAGCUUCAACAGCAGCACCUCAGAAAAUGUCCAAAGGGCAAUUUUCCCACAGUAUCUGGGAUGACAAGAACCAUCCUCAGAUUCUGGACCGGCUCUAACUUGGCAAGUUAGACUAGAAUCACAUGCACAGUCCCUGGUGUGGUCUCUACUUGACUACUGUCCUAGGAGCCAAAUAAUUGGUGUAGUCAAUGUGCUUUACUUGGGGGAGGAAGGGGUUGAUAGUGAAAAGAUAUGAACAAUUAAGAAAAGAGAUUAAUUUUAAAUUAAGCUGAAUGUCAAGAAGAUUAGCGUAACUCUGACUUCUUUACCAGAAACAGACUUCUAAAAUGAGACUUAAUCUAAAGACAUAAAUAAAAAAUAUCCCUUUAAAUGAUGUAUGGAAAUAUGAGCGGACAUCGAGUGAGGAAGGCAGGCAGUUGUGCUGGAUCUAAGUAAGUAGGUGUUCUGCAAAUCAAUCCACUUCACAGAGUCAUUUGUGGAGCUAUUGUUCAGGAUAUUUGUAUUUGAAUAGAGCUUGUCUCUCUCCUCACCCUGCCUCUCUAUCCCAGGAGUCUAGAAUGAAGGCACAAACUUCCACCAGGAUGACUGUGGCUGGUUGCCAUGGAAAUAGCGAGAAGGCACUGGAUUCAGCAUUUGACUUCACUGUGGAUCACAAGCCCAAGCAUGAAGACUGAGUCGCGUUUAACUAAGAGACUUGCUAAUUAAUGGAGCGCCAGGUACAGCUUAAAGAGAAAGUCACACAGUAGAUAAAGCUAAGUUUUCAGGGCUCUCAAAAGAAAUAAUCGCAGCCCCAAGCGGACUGUGGAAGAGAAUGCUUUCUCCUCUGAGAUCUAUCUUCUUUUGAGUUCUGACGGCCACUUUUCCCUGACUCUCUGGAGGGAGGUGGAAAUGGAGCCAUUUAGGAAACCUUCCAGCUAAUUGAAUUCAAGAAGUCCAUCUACGGACAAAUGGAUAAAGAAAAAGUGGUAUAUAUGCACAAUGGAAUACUAUUUGACCAUAAAAAAGAAUGAAAUACUGUCAUUUGCAGCAACAUGGAUGGAACUGGUGGUUGUUAUGUUAAGAGAAAAAAGCCAGGCACAGAAAGACAAAUGCUGCAAAUUCUCACUAUGUGCAAGUUUAAAAAAAUGAUCGCAUGGAGAUAGAGAAUACAAUGAUAAAUACUAGAGGCUGGGAAGCGUGUGUGAGUCAGUGGGGAAGGAUGAAGAGAGGUUGGUUAGUGUGUUAGAUGGAAGUUAGAUAGAAGAAAUAACCCCAAUAUUUGAUAGCAGAGUAGGAUAACUACAGUCUGCAACAAUGUAAUAUAUGUUUUCGAGUAGCAAGAAGAGAGGGCUUGAAAUGCUCCCAACACAUAAAAAUGAUAAACACUCAAGGUGAUGGACACCCCAAAUGCUCUGACUUGAUCAUCACACAUUCUAUGCAUGUAACAAAUAUUCACAUGUACCCCAUAAAUAUAUAACAUUUUGUAUGAGUAAAAAAAAAAAAAAAAAGAGAGAGAGAGAAAGAGAAAUGAAAUGGCACAACUAAAUCCUCAAAAGGCGACGGUGAUUUUCCCAGCCCUGAUCUCACUCUGCCUCUUUGUCUCUGGGGGGCAGGUUCUUGGAAGGAGACAGUUUUGGGAAGACACCUCCACUACCCUGCUAUGCACUGCCUCCCCUCCCUUCUCAUUCAUAGCUCUUCCCCUAGCAAAAUACAAGUUCACCACCGCCUCCCCUUGGUCUUCUUCCUCCCUCGCUUCCUGGCCCAUUUGCAAGGCCAUCUCUUGACCAGCCAGCAGAAAUGCAAGAGCAUCUGGUGUAGCAGAGUCCGUUUGAAUAAAAUGUGAAAGCACAGUUGUACUCCAGUCAGUGCACAAAUACCAGCUGGUGGAAGUGGAAUAGGAAAAUCAUUUCCUCACUGGUAGCCCAUUUUUAAACACUUCAUAACGAAUGAAGAAGAUUGAAUUGGUCAUUUAAAAGAUAGCAGAUUUCAUUCCACAAAUGCCUUCUGAGUGCCAUUUACUGAACUGGGUGCUGGGGAGGUUUCUUAGGUAAAUCAGACAGAUUCCUACUGUCAAUUACACAAUUGUCAAGCAGACAAUUCCUGCAUCACAUGGAAGGAAUAAGCCUGAGAUGCCUGGUGAGAUGGAAUCUAAAUAGCAUGCCAGCCUCCUCUUCUGCGUCUAGAGGUGAAGUCACCCGAAGACAUAGUUUAACAUUCACAGGGUGCGCCUCCGUGCUGAACACAUAUGGUUGAAUUUGGCUCAUAAAGGUGUGUUGUGCUACAGCACUGGAUAGAAGUUCUGCUGAGCUUCUGCUGGGGUCUAGGGCCACUGUGGGCAGUGUAGCAGCUAUUGCAGUGUGCGGCUAUGGUGAGAGGCCACUCCAAGUCCAGCCCGUUGGUAAGGUAGCCAAGCUUUACUAACAAGGGCUUACUAACGGGCUGAGCUGAUGACAUAUAAAACCUGUGAUCCUUUAGCUCCAGUUUAGGGUCCCACUAUGGCCUGGGCAGGGAUUUGGACCAGCUGAGGCGUGGCCAUAACAGCAGAAAAGCAUCCACCUGGCUGUGCAUGACAAGGGUUCCAUAAUAAUCCCACGUGGGAACAACUAAAGCCACAAUGGUAAUAGACUGACCAGAGUGACCUCUUUCUCCUGGCACACAGAAGCAAAACUAACCUCUUUUAAAUAAAACUUCAAGUGUUAACAAUUUGGGGUGGAAAAGAGGUCUCAAAGGUGAGAUAACUGACUUUCUGCUAAUAUAAACACAUGAGUGCUCAAUUAAUUGGAUAAAUAAAAGAGUAAAAGCCAAAAUCCUUUCACUGGUCUACCGGAUCUCUUGUAUACUGCCCUCUCUCUGAUCUCAUUUCUGAUCUGCUUAACCGUGCUCACUCAGCACCAGGCAAGGCAGCCUCUUUCCUGUUUCUCAAACAUGCUCUCACCUCAGGGCCUUUGCACUGCUGAUCCCUGUGCCUGAAAUACUCUUCCUGAGUGCUUCACCUGUCGGGACUCUGCUCAGACGUUACCUUAUUGGUGGUCUUCCCUUGCAACCUCAUAGCACUCCCUCCUGCCAGCAUUCUCUCUCUUUCCAUCCACUUUUGCUUUUACCCACAGAACGAAUCACUAUCUCAUAUUACAUAUUUACCAGCUUAUCACCUCUUACCCCUAUUUGAAUAUAAGUUUCACAAGGGCAGAGGCUUUAUUUCUUACUGUUACACUAGCACUCAAAAUUGUGUUUGGCCCACAAUAGGUGCUUAAUAAACAUUAGAUGUUGAAGGAGAUGUGAAUCUAUUUGUACCCCAAUUGUGGGGGUUGCAUUCAUACAUGUAACAAAUAAAUACUAACAUAAGAUAGGGUCAUAAGAGUGAGCCAGAUAAAAUGUUCUCAGAAUCUAGAAGAAGGAGAGAGAAUUCCAACAGAAAGAAAUCAAGGAACAGUUCAUGGAGAAGGGACCAUUUGAUCCGUAAAAGAUGGAUUGGAUUUGAACAUUUGGGGAUGGGAGGGAAGUUUCAGUGAAGGACAUUAACAUGAGCAAAUGCAUAGAGGUAUUAAGAACAGCUUCUUUUAGCUAGAACAGAGGAGUACAGAAAAGAUGGUCUAAAAGGUAAUGAGCUUAGAUUUUGAAGGGCCUUGCUCUCUAUUCUCUGAAAAUUAAUUAAUUAUAAUUCUGUAAAGUCUGUAAUUAUACACCAGAGACUGAUGUGUAAAACAGGUACAAAUCAAAUUCAGAGCCAGCUAGGUAGGGCAAGGGGGAUACAGGCCUCCUAGACCACACACCCACUCUCCUUUCUAUGAACCCCUAGGGCACUGCUGUUCAGAGUCUAAAAAUUACUGUUCUAUAAAUAGAGAGCUAUCAGAGGUGUUUGGGCUGGGGAGAAACUGGAUUAGAGCUAUGUUUCAAAAAGAUUAAUCCAGCAACCAAAAGACAAAUUGGAGAGGGAAGGCACUAGAUGCGGGAAAACCAGUUAUGGUACUCUUGCCACUGUCUGGAUGAGAGGUAAUGAAAGGCACAACUUAGGCAGGUGAAUCACAAAUUCAUGAAUUAGGACUCUGGCAACAUGAGAAAAUGACUAUGAGGGAGAACACCUGGAUUGGGUGGUAGGGUUGGGGAAGCUGACUCAGGUGGUAGGUGUCCAAUGGGCACCAGAAGCUCAGGUUGACUCAUGCCUGUACCAAUAUCUCUGAGUUAGGAAGAUACGAGCAUCCAGGACUGUUACAGAUCUUGCAGAUGUUCAUGUCGUUCUUCCAGGUCAACUAUAUUCACUGCAGGAUCAAGUCAUCACUUUGGAAUAUGGGAAAUCAAGAAAACAAAUCCAAAAUCCAGGGAAAAUCUUAGAGCUCAAAAAGCUAAAGUCCCCAGUUCAUCUCCCAAAGUCAGACUGCUGAGCCUGGUCGGAGAAAAUCACACAGCUCUGCAUACAGGUGCUACUAAAGUGUAGUCUUUAGGUUGUUUGAGGACAUGAAGUCUUCCUAUGUGUCCUUUAUCAAUUUAUUCUUCUACCCACUUGACAAAAUAUUAGUACUCUCCUCGAGCCCCUACUCUACUACUUUGCCUCUGAUUUUCAGCAGACAGCCAUGUUCCUUCUCUCUGGGAUUGAUGAAUUCCAGCCCAAUAUUUUAAAUGCUGUCUCAGGGGUGAAGUUUCCACAAUCUGUAACUCUUCCCAUGAUCUCUUCUCUGUGUCCAAAACUACUUAUCUAUCUAUUGAAUAUUCCACAGACACCUCAAAAACAGCCUGGCCUAAACAGACUUGAUUUCUACCCUUAAAUCUAUUCCUCCUCAUCUCUUUUUCUAUCAUAGUAAAUGGCAACACCGUUUACCCAGAGGCACCAGCUUCACAGCUAGAAACUAUCUUAUUCCCUUUAGUGUUGCUACAAAGGGAUAUCUGAGGCUGGGUAAUUUAUAAAGAAAAAAAGAUUCAUUUGGCUCACGAUUCUGAUGUCUGGAAAAGUUCAAGAUUGGGCUCUGCAUCUGGGGAUGCUCUGAGGCUGGUUCCAGUCAUGGCAGGAGAAUGGGAACUGGUAUGUGUGGCGAUCACAUGGUGAGUGCUGAAGCAAGAGUUGGGGAGGUGCCAGGCUCUUUCUAAACCAGCUCUCAUAGGAACUAAUGGAGUGAGGACUCAUUAGCAUGAGAAAGGCACCAAGUCAUUCAUGAGGGAUUCACCCCCAUGAUCCAAACACAUUCUAUUAGGCUCCAACUCCAGAAUUUGGAUCAAAUUUAAACAUGAGCUUCAGAAGAACAAACAUUCAAACUAUGGCACCAUAGCACUAUCCUUGAUUCCAAUCCAUCAGCAAGUUUGGCCUACCAUAUAUAGAGAGAGAGAGAGAGUAAAAAAAUAUUUUACAUAUAUACACACACACAUGCUUCCCUCUCCAUGACAACAAUAACCCCUUAACUAAGCCACCAUCACUCCAUGCCUGGACCACACCCACAGUCUCUUAGCUGGUCUCUUUGUUAGCUCUCUGCCAUUCUCCCUCCAUUUCCCACACAUCCAGACAUCUCCAUGUAUUCAUCCUCAUCUCAAUUCACCUCUUAGCAGCGUUUAACACUAUUAGCCAUUUCCUCCUUUUUGAAUUCUUUGUUCCUUGGCUUCCAGACAUAUCAGUCUUCUGGCUUUCCUCCAACUGUGUGGGCCUUCUGUUUUUUAGGUUUGUCCUUGUCGUUUAGCUGUUAAAUAUUAAAGAUCCUCCAAGCUCUAUCCUAGACUCUCCUCCUCUUACUCUAUAUUCUCCAUGAUCUCAUUAGUGCCCACAACAUCAAUUAUGCUAAUGACUAUGCUGAUGACUAACAUAUUUGGAUGCCUAGCUUGCAUCUCUUCUUUGAGCUCCAGACCUAUAUAUUCAGCUGCCUCCUUGACAUCUCUUGAAUAUCUCAAAGUAUCUUAAAUUCAUCAUGGUAAAAACUAAGCUAAAAUCGAAUUCCUUCCCCAAACCUGGCCCUCUUCUAAGGCUUCUUAGCCCAGCACAAGGCCCUAGAGUCCAUGCAGUUUGCAUAAACCAGAACCAAGAGUCCCCCUUAACACCUGCCUCUCCCUCAUCCCUCAGGCCCAUGUCCUUAUAUCUAAUUUGAUGGCAAAUGGGGUAGCCACUUCCCAGCCUGGGUAAAUGUCUUAAAGUCUCUUGCCUUGGUUUUCACACCUGUGAAAUUGGUCUUAUAAAAGCACCUAUCUCAUAAGGCUACUAUAAACAGUAAAUGAGAUAAUAUACGUAAGGUAUUUAGAAUGGUACCUAGCACAUUAUUUUAAAAAAGGCAUUCAGCAACUGUUAAAUAUGAUUAUUAUCCAAUGCAUAAUGAAAUCCUGCCAAUAGUGCUUUUAAACAAAUUUUAAUCAGUUCAUCUUUUUCCUUGGGCACCUUUGCCACCCUAGCCUAAUCUAUCAUCACCACUUACUUGGACUACUGCAAUGCAGUAGACUCUUAACCGGCCCACUCUGUCCCUUUGCCCCCAUCUCUGCCACAAAAUAUCUCCUCCACAAUGCAGACAGAAUGGCCUCUUCAGAAUGCAAACCUGAUCACCUUACCUCCUACCUCUUCUCCCCCAAGUCCUCACAUUUUUCAGUGACUCCUUGCUGGUUUUGGGACAAAUAUGAAACUCCUCCUCAUGGCCCUGCCUGCCUCAGGCCCUGUCCACCUCUCCAGCUCACUCUCACCCUCUGCUCCUGACACGUUAACCUCCCUUAGACUCUUGUCUGGCCC